This 252-nucleotide unclassified non-coding RNA is filed under the name uncultured bacterium. RNAcentral's name for it is "contains 16S-23S intergenic spacer region". The record is from RNAcentral.
AAGGCUUGACAUAUACCGACCUUGCGGGGCGACUGUUUCCAGCCGUUUCCGGUAUAUGUCAAGCCUUGGUAAGGUUCUUCGCGUUGCAUCGAAUUAAUCCGCAUGCUCCGCCGCUUGUGCGGGCCCCCGUCAAUUCCUUUGAGUUUUAAUCUUGCGACCGUACUCCCCAGGCGGAGUGCUUCACGCGUUAGCUGCGGCACCGACAUGCAUGCAUGCCGACGCCUAGCACUCAUCGUUUACGGCGUGGACUAC